UACGUAGGUGGCAAGCGUUGUUCGAAAUUAUUGGGCGUAAAGGGCGCGUAGGCGGCGUGUUAAGUCAACCGUGAAAGCCCGGGGCUCAACCCCGGAGGGUCGGUCGAUACUGGCAGGCUAGAGUACGGAAGAGGUAGCUGGAAUUCCCGGUGUAGCGGUGAAAUGCGUAGAUAUCUGGAGGAACACCGGUGGCGAAGGCGACAUCCUGGACCGGUAUUGACGCUGAGUGAGCGAAAGCCAGGGGAGCAAACGGG
This 254-nucleotide ribosomal RNA is filed under the name uncultured prokaryote. Its description in RNAcentral is "partial 16S ribosomal RNA". It matches the Rfam family "Bacterial small subunit ribosomal RNA", at positions 524 to 776 of the family's 1533-position model. The record is from RNAcentral.